UGAGGGUUGAUAGGUUAAGAGCUAAGCAAUUGGACGUUACCUACAGAAGAAGCACCGGCUAACUCCGUGCCAGCAGCCGCGGUAAUACGAGGGUGCAAGCGUUAAUCGGAAUUACUGGGCGUAAAGAGUGCGUAGGUGGUUAAUUAAGUUAUGUGUGAAAUCCCUGGGCUUAACCUGGGCAGGUCAUAUAAUACUGAUUGACUCGAGUAUGGGAGAGGGUAGUGAAUUUCCGGUGUAGCGGUGAAAUGCGUAGAGAUCGAAGAACACCAGUGGCGAAGGCGGCUACCUGGCCUAAUACUGACACUGAGGCACGAAAGCGUGGGAGCAAACAGGAUUAGAUACCCUGGUAGUCCACGCUGUAAACGAUGUCAACUAGCUGUUGGUUAUAUAAAAUAAUUAGUGGCGCAGCAAACGCGAUAAGUUGAC
Molecule: ribosomal RNA, 426 nt
Filed under: uncultured Legionella sp.
Lineage: Bacteria; Pseudomonadati; Pseudomonadota; Gammaproteobacteria; Legionellales; Legionellaceae
Description: bacterial SSU rRNA
Rfam family: Bacterial small subunit ribosomal RNA
Source: RNAcentral